Molecule: long non-coding RNA, 901 nt
Organism: Ornithodoros turicata
Lineage: Eukaryota; Metazoa; Arthropoda; Arachnida; Ixodida; Argasidae
Exons: 3
Source: RefSeq, a predicted model, not a curated record
CCCUCGGCGGCGGUCGCGGCGGUGGCUAUGAAUGUAGUGCCCUGGUCAGCGCAUGAAGACAUCAAUUGUUCUCAGGCGUCGGUAUCGCGCUGUCGUAGGUGGACGUGUGUGUGUCUUGUGCUUCUUGUUUCAUGCUAAUUACCACAUGGAGGUAGAACCCCUGUAGCUGACCAGAAAGGCCUGGACUGUCAAAUGCCAUACAUGAAUUGGUUCAAGUUCUUCAAACAGAGCUGACCCAGCAGAAGGCCUCUGGUGGCAUACUGUAAUCAAGUGCGCCACUCCCACAGGAUUAUUGCAUUCAUGCCUGAAUGCUGUCCAGGGCAUCCCACAGGCCCCAGCUGUGUGACGAUGCCCCACCCCACGGAUUGUCUUAUGCCAACAGCGUCCUCCCGUAGGGAACUAUGGACACUAGAAGAUUGGCUGUGGACAUGCUAAGGAAUCCUUCAGUAGCUUCAUGGUGCACUGGAGAAGAAACAGCAGACCUGGAUGAAGUAAACAAACGGCCCUUAUCAGGGCCACCAUAUGUCUGCCACAAUGGCUAGCGUUCUGCUGAUAGAACAAACCCUGAUGGUGAUAGAAGAUCACUAAACUAACCAUAACUCAAGCACGAUGGCUACAACAGUGCUGAUAGAAACUCCUGUUAUUCAUUCGCACAGAAAAUAUGAAGCAGAAAAUGUAGAGGUUGUUGCGAGAGACCUGUACUAUGUCUGUUCUAUGUCUUUUGCAAAAGCUACCACCGUUUCUCGACAAAAGUGACGUGGAGGAUGUACUGGACGUCUCCAUUUUUCCCCUUUCUCUCUGUACUGUAAAGGUAGUUCUUUUUGUGUAGUCCAAUAAUACGAGAAUUUGAAAAAAGGUCUUUGGGUGUACUUGACAUAAUUGUGUGCCAGUCUAUAUCAUU